CUUGCGGUAACUGGCCCCAUUCACCGUCCUGUGCCUGACCCUGGAACUGAUUAGCAGGACAUGAGUAAUCUUCCCAUUCGACCACCUCAGAAGCAGGGGGAAUGAUGAACUGUGUUGCCUCCUGGCCUGUGCCAGCUCCCGCCCUGUCCCCUCCCCAGUGCCAGCUGCCACCUGCACCUUUAAUCAUGUCAGGAGGGUCCAAAAUGCUGACAUCUGCUUCUGAAGUUUGGUUUUAAGUACUUUCUCAGAAAUGCAGUUCAAUGGACUCCACCUGAAAUGUCAUUUGGAAAAUGCUUGAAAUUUCUAUAACAGGGCAUUUGUUCAUUUUAGGAAAAAAUUAUGAAGGCAAAAUAAAGACCAGACUUGUGGGCCAA
Molecule: long non-coding RNA, 374 nt
Organism: Pongo pygmaeus (Bornean orangutan)
Lineage: Eukaryota; Metazoa; Chordata; Mammalia; Primates; Hominidae
Exons: 2
Source: RefSeq, a predicted model, not a curated record